This 253-nucleotide ribosomal RNA is filed under the name uncultured bacterium. RNAcentral describes it as "partial 16S ribosomal RNA". It matches the Rfam family "Bacterial small subunit ribosomal RNA", at positions 524 to 776 of the family's 1533-position model. The record is from RNAcentral.
UACAUGGGGUGCAAACGUUGCUCGGAAUUAUUGGGCGUAAAGCGCGCGUAGGCGGUUACUUAAGUCGGAUGUGAAAGCUCUCGGCUUAACUGAGGAAGUGCACCCGAAACUGAGUAGCUAGAGUACGAAAGAGGGUCGCGGAAUUCCCGGUGUAGAGGUGAAAUUCGUAGAUAUCGGGAGGAACACCGGUGGCGAAGGCGGCGACCUGGGUCGAGACUGACGCUGAGGCGCGAAAGCGUGGGGAGCAAACAGG